GGUAUAGCUCAGUUGGUAGAGCAUGAGACUCUUCAUUUCAUGGUCAUGGGUUCGAGCCCCACUUGGAGUG
Podarcis lilfordi (Lilford's wall lizard) is the source of this 70-nucleotide non-coding RNA. The record is from the annotation of a GenBank genome assembly. Lineage: Eukaryota; Metazoa; Chordata; Lepidosauria; Squamata; Lacertidae.